UAGUAACGGCGAGUGAAGCGGUAACAGCUCAAAUUUGAAAUCUGGCUCCCUGCGGAGUCCGAGUUGUAAUUUGUAGAAGAUGCUUUGGGUGCACGACCCGGCCUAAGUGCCUUGGAACAGGACGUCGUAGAGGGUGAGAAUCCCGUAUGCGGCCGGCGUCGACGCCCGUGUAAAGCUCUUUCGACGAGUCGAGUUGUUUGGGAAUGCAGCUCAAAAUGGGUGGUAAAUUUCAUCUAAAGCUAAAUAUGGGCCAGAGACCGAUAGCGCACAAGUAGAGUGAUCGAAAGAUGAAAAGCACUUUGGAAAGAGAGUUAAACAGUACGUGAAAUUGUUGAAAGGGAAGCGCUUGCAACCAGACUUGGGCGUCGCUGAUCAUCCAAAGUUCUCUUUGGUGCACUCGACGACGCACAGGCCAGCAUCGGUUGGGGUGGUGGGAGAAAGACUGUAGGAACGUAGCUCUUUUCGGAGAGUGUUAUAGCCUGCGGUGCAAUACUGCCUACCUCGACCGAGGACCGCGCUUCGGCUAGGAUGCUGGCGUAAUGGUUGUAAGCGACCCGUCUUGAAACACGGACCAAGGAGUCUAACAUCUAUGCGAGUGUUUGGGUGCGAAACCCAUGCGCGAAAUGAAAGUGAACGUAGGUGAGAACCCUUUGAGGGGGCAUCAUCGACCGAUCCUGAUGUCUUCGGAUGGAUUUGAGUAAGAGCAUAGCUGUUGGGA
Molecule: ribosomal RNA, 718 nt
Filed under: Phyllactinia paliuri
Lineage: Eukaryota; Fungi; Ascomycota; Leotiomycetes; Helotiales; Erysiphaceae
Also listed under: 1 other name
Description: eukaryotic LSU rRNA
Rfam family: Eukaryotic large subunit ribosomal RNA
Source: RNAcentral